RNAcentral lists this long non-coding RNA (304 nucleotides) under Solanum tuberosum (potato). RNAcentral's name for it is "long non-coding RNA (STUB_LNC011141)". Lineage: Eukaryota; Viridiplantae; Streptophyta; Magnoliopsida; Solanales; Solanaceae. The record is from RNAcentral.
AGCCUAGUUAAUUCUAAAGUAGCUGAAUUUGAAAAUCUAUUGCGAAAUCCUUAUGCAUCUACAUCAACUUCUGCUCCUAAUGCUCAAAGUCCUUUUCCUGGUGGCAUACCAAGUGCCUCAUUGAGUGCUCAAAGUCCUUUUCCUGGUGCCGCACCAAGUGCCUCAAGUCCUUUUCCUGGUGCCUCAUUGAGUGCUCAAAGUCCUUUUCCUGGUGCUGCACCAAAUGCAUUGUCGAGUGCUCAAAGCAGUUUUCCUCCUUCAGCCUCAAGUUUUAGUCAGUUGGGAACCAUACUGAAUACAGGGU